RNAcentral lists this unclassified non-coding RNA (380 nucleotides) under uncultured bacterium. RNAcentral describes it as "contains 16S-23S intergenic spacer region". The record is from RNAcentral.
UCCGGUUUAUCACCGGCAGUCCCUGCAGAGUCCCCGGCACGCUUUCGCGUCCGCUGGCAACAGCAGGCAAGGGUUGCGCUCGUUGCGGGACUUAACCCAACAUCUCACGACACGAGCUGACGACAGCCAUGCACCACCUGUGGAUCACCCUCGAAGGCGGCUCCGUUUCGGGAGCUUGCAGAUCCAUGUCAAACCCUGGUAAGGUUCUUCGCGUUGCAUCGAAUUAAGCCAUAUGCUCCACCGCUUGUGCGGGCCCCCGCCAAUUCCUUUGAGUUUUAAUCUUGCGAUCGUAGUUCCCAGGCGGUUCACUUAAUGCGUUAGCUGCGGCACCGAGGGUUGCCCCCCAACACCUAGUGAACAUCGUUUAUGGCCAAGACUAC